GAUGAACGCUGGCGGCGUGCCUAAUACAUGCAAGUCGAGCGAACGGACGAGAAGCUUGCUUCUCUGAUGUUAGCGGCGGACGGGUGAGUAACCCGUGGAUAACCUACCUAUAAGACUGGGAUAACUUCGGGAAACCGGAGCUAAUCCCGGAUAAUAUUUUGAACCGCAUGGUUCAAAAGUGAAAGACGGUCUUGCUGUCACUUAUAGAUGGAUCCGCGCUGCAUUAGCUAGUUGGUAAGGUAACGGCUUACCAAGGCAACGAUGCAUAGCCGACCUGAGAGGGUGAUCGGCCACACUGGAACUGAGACACGGUCCAGACUCCUACGGGAGGCAGCAGUGGGGAAUCUUCCGCAAUGGGCGAAAGCCUGACGGAGCAACGCCGCGUGAGUGAUGAAGGUCUUCGGAUCGUAAAACUCUGUUAUUAGGGAAGAACAUAUGUGUAAGUAACUGUGCACAUCUUGACGGUACCUAAUCAGAAAGCCACGGCUAACUACGUG
Molecule: ribosomal RNA, 497 nt
Filed under: uncultured bacterium
Lineage: Bacteria
Description: partial 16S ribosomal RNA
Rfam family: Bacterial small subunit ribosomal RNA
Source: RNAcentral